UACGGAGGGUGCAAGCGUGAUCCGGAAUCACUGGGUUUAAAGGGUGCGUAGGCGGCUUGGUAAGUCAGAGGUGAAAGCCCGCAGCUUAACUGCGGAACUGCCUUUGAUACUGCCGAGCUUGUAAGAGGUUGAGGUCAGCGGAACGUGACAUGUAGCGGUGAAAUGCAUAGAUAUGUCACAGAACACCAAUUGCGAAGGCAGCUGGCUGGGCCUACUUUGACGCUGAGGCACGAAAGCGUGGGGAGCAAACUGG
RNAcentral lists this ribosomal RNA (253 nucleotides) under uncultured bacterium. RNAcentral describes it as "partial 16S ribosomal RNA". It matches the Rfam family "Bacterial small subunit ribosomal RNA", at positions 524 to 776 of the family's 1533-position model. The record is from RNAcentral.